This 506-nucleotide ribosomal RNA is filed under the name uncultured bacterium. RNAcentral's name for it is "partial 16S ribosomal RNA". It matches the Rfam family "Bacterial small subunit ribosomal RNA", at positions 30 to 523 of the family's 1533-position model. The record is from RNAcentral.
AUUGAACGCUGGCGGCAGGCCUAACACAUGCAAGUCGAACGGUAACAGGAAGAAGCUUGCUUCUUUGCUGACGAGUGGCGGACGGGUGAGUAAUGUCUGGGAAACUGCCUGAUGGAGGGGGAUAACUACUGGAAACGGUAGCUAAUACCGCAUAACGUCGCAAGACCAAAGAGGGGGACCUUCGGGCCUCUUGCCAUCGGAUGUGCCCAGAUGGGAUUAGCUAGUUGGUGGGGUAACGGCUCACCAAGGCGACGAGCCCUAGCUGGUCUGCGAGGAUGACCAGCCACACUGGAACUGAGACACGGGCCAGAAUUCUACGGGAGGCAGCAGUGGGGAAUAUUGCACAAUGGGCGCAAGCCUGAUGCAGCCAUGCCGCGUGUAUGAAGAAGGCCUUCGGGUUGUAAAGUACUUUCAGCGGGGAGGAAGGCGGUGAGGUUAAUAACCUCAUCGAUUGACGUUACCCGCAGAAGAAGCACCGGCUAACUCCGUGCCAGCCGCCGCAGUAA